RNAcentral lists this ribosomal RNA (253 nucleotides) under uncultured bacterium. Its description in RNAcentral is "partial 16S ribosomal RNA". It matches the Rfam family "Bacterial small subunit ribosomal RNA", at positions 524 to 776 of the family's 1533-position model. The record is from RNAcentral.
UACGGGGGGGGCAAGCGUUGUUCGGAAUUACUGGGCGUAAAGGGCUCGUAGGCGGCCAACUAAGUCAGACGUGAAAUCCCUCGGCUUAACCGGGGAACUGCAUCUGAUACUGGAUGGCUUGAGUUCGGGAGAGGGAUGCGGAAUUCCAGGUGUAGCGGUGAAAUGCGUAGAUAUCUGGAGGAACACCGGUGGCGAAGGCGGCAUCCUGGACUGACACUGACGCUGAGGCGCGAAAGCGUGGGGAGCAAACAGG